RNAcentral lists this long non-coding RNA (834 nucleotides) under Gallus gallus (chicken). Lineage: Eukaryota; Metazoa; Chordata; Aves; Galliformes; Phasianidae. The record is from RNAcentral.
GAGCUGUCCCUGCAGCAGUGAUGUGAUGUGGCAGCAUCCUCACACCGCUCUGCUCCCGCUGUCCCAUGGCCACACUGCUGCUGCCUCCGCUACCUGCGUGCCGUUGCGUUUCUGUGCCUCUCAGCAUGCACGUACAAUCUGGGCAAAGAUUCCUAAGGAAUGAUUUAUUAACUAUAAUAUGGUUAUAGUUGCAUAUAUAUAAAUACAUACAUACCAGCCGUCGUUAUCUAUAACUGAAGGCACAUUUUAAGUUCACAUGGGCAAGACUGCUGCGUCCCCUGUGCUGCUCCCCAAGAGCCAACGCUGCAGCACCGCUGUGGUCCCCUCUCCUGCGGCAGCAGCGAUGUGUCCCUUUCAGCAGCAGGGUGCCCAUGAGCGCAGUGUUGCUGUGUGUGCGUUCGCCCGUAGAUCUUUUGCCUGCAGUGAAGUGCCAAUGAGUGCCCACCCCGACUGCUCUCCGCUCCCACCGCAUCCCUCCAUCCUCCCCCCCUUUGCGUUGACUACUGCCAGGAUCGCUCUGUACACCAUCCGUCACUGCCAUCAGCAUCGAUUUUGUACGUACAGUAAUUUCCCUUUUAUAUGUCAGGUAAAUAUUUGUAAGAGUUAUACUCACACAAAGGAGAUUAUUAUGAUGAUUACUAAUAUAUUUUUUUUCCAUGUUUCAUUGCCUGAGUAAAAAUGGUGUUUAUCACUCUUGAAAGGUUUCAUGCUGUUUGUAAGGGUGGUGAGCGGCUUGGGAGGAUUUAACUCCUGGGAAGGGCCUGAUUCUACCUCGUGUGUGUGGAUGGGGUUGGGGUUGGGGCUGGAUUAGGGUUAGAAGAGCAGAGCACAGCC